Molecule: non-coding RNA, 342 nt
Organism: Mus pahari (shrew mouse)
Lineage: Eukaryota; Metazoa; Chordata; Mammalia; Rodentia; Muridae
Source: the annotation of a RefSeq genome assembly
AUGAUCCCCACAUUCUUUUGUGUGAUGCUUUGUCUGCGAAGAGCAGGAGAUGGUGGAAUCACCCAGACACCUAGAGACUGGAUAACAAAGACCUCAAGAAAGAUAAUCCUGAAGUGUUCUCAGGAUAGGAACCACUCUCGGAUGUCCUGGUAUCGACAAGAUGCAGGACAGGGGUUGAAGCUAAUUCAUUACUCGGUAGGCAUUGACAGAACUACCAAAGGAGAUGUCCCUGAAGGGUACAGUGCCUUCAGAAAUGAGACACAGAGCUUUCCCCUGACAUUAGAGUCAACCAGCUCCAACCAGACCUCCAUGUACUUCUGUGCCAGCAGCGAACAAACAUAG